Molecule: ribosomal RNA, 430 nt
Filed under: uncultured bacterium
Lineage: Bacteria
Description: bacterial SSU rRNA
Rfam family: Bacterial small subunit ribosomal RNA
Source: RNAcentral
GGGCCCGCACAAGCGGUGGAGUAUGUGGUUUAAUUCGAUGCAACGCGAAGAACCUUACCAGGGUUUAAAUGUAGAAUGACCGGGGUGGAAACACCCCUUUCUUCGGACAGACUACAAGGUGCUGCAUGGUUGUCGUCAGCUCGUGCUGUGAAGUGUCGGGUUAAGUCCCAUAACGAGCGCAACCCCCCAUUUCUAGUUGCCAGCGGUUCGGCCGGGGACUCUAGAGAAACUGCCAGUGAUAAGCUGGAGGAAGGUGGGGAUGACGUCAAGUCCUCAUGGCCCUUAUGUGUUGGGCUACACACGUGCUACAAUGGUACUUACAAUGGGACGCAAAGAGGCGACUCUAAGCCAAUCCCUAAAAUGUACCUCAGUUCGGAUUGUACUCUGUAACUCGAGUGCAUGAAGCUGGAAUUGCUAGUAAUCGCGGAUC